GGAAACGGUUGCUAAUACCCCAUAUGCUUUCGAGUGAAAUGGAUUUUUCCGCCUAGAGAGAAGCUUGCGCCUGAUUAGCUUGUUGGUAAGGUAAUGGCUUACCAAGGCGACGAUCAGUAUCUGGUUUGAGAGGACGAUCAGACACACUGGAACUGAGACACGGUCCAGACUCCUACGGGAGGCAGCAGUGGGGAAUUUUCCGCAAUGGGCGAAAGCCUGACGGAGCAAUCUCGCGUGAGGGAUGACGGCCUAUGGGUUGUAAACCUCUUUCUUCAGGGAUGAAUAAAAUGACGUGUACCUGAAGAAUAAGCAUCGGCUAACUCCGUGCCAGCAGCCGCGGUAAGACGGAGGAUGCAAGUGUUAUCCGGAAUCACCGGGCGUAAAGCGUCUGUAGGUGGUUUAGUAAGUCAACUGUUAAAUCUUGAAGCUUAACUUCAAAAUCGCAGUCGAAACUGCUAGACUAGAGUAUAGUAGGGGUAAAGGGAAUUUCCAGUGGAGCGGUGAAAUGCGUAGAGAUUGGAAAGAACACCGAUGGCGAAGGCACUUUACUGGGCUAUUACUGACACUCAGAGACGAAAGCUAGGGUAGCAAAUGGGAUUAGAUACCCCAGUAGUC
Molecule: ribosomal RNA, 615 nt
Filed under: uncultured phototrophic eukaryote
Lineage: Eukaryota
Description: bacterial SSU rRNA
Rfam family: Bacterial small subunit ribosomal RNA
Source: RNAcentral